GGAGCCGUGCCUGAGUACCCAAGGACCACUUUGAUAGAGUGAACUACGGGGGUUAAAUUCCCCCCGACUCCU
Molecule: transfer RNA, 72 nt
Filed under: Clupeichthys goniognathus (Sumatran river sprat)
Lineage: Eukaryota; Metazoa; Chordata; Actinopteri; Clupeiformes; Clupeidae
Description: tRNA-Ile
Rfam family: tRNA
About the family: Transfer RNA (tRNA) molecules are approximately 80 nucleotides in length. Their secondary structure includes four short double-helical elements and three loops (D, anti-codon, and T loops).
Source: RNAcentral